RNAcentral lists this unclassified non-coding RNA (386 nucleotides) under uncultured Phycisphaeraceae bacterium. RNAcentral describes it as "contains 16S-23S intergenic spacer region". The record is from RNAcentral. Lineage: Bacteria; Pseudomonadati; Planctomycetota; Phycisphaerae; Phycisphaerales; Phycisphaeraceae.
UCCGGUUUAACACCGGCAGUCCCGCUAGAGUGCCCGGCAUGACCCGGUAGCAACUAGAGGCAGGGGUUUCGCUCGUUAGAGGACUUAACCCGACACUUCACAGCACGAGCUGACGACAGCCAUGCAGCACCUGUGCACGUUCCGCCCUUGCGGGUGUUAUCCCCUUUUCAGGGGACUAAUCCGUGCAUGUCAAGCCCAGGAUAAGGUUCUUCGCGUUGCGUCGAAUUGAGCCACAUGCUCCACCGCUUGUGUGAGCCCCCGUCAAUUCCUUUGAGUUUUAGUCUUGCGACCGUACUCCCCAGGCGGUGCACUCAUCGGUUUUCCUUCGGCACUGGAGGCGUCAGAGCCCCCAAGGCCACGUGCACAUCGUUUAGGGCGUGGACUAC